This 341-nucleotide ribosomal RNA is filed under the name uncultured archaeon. Its description in RNAcentral is "partial 16S ribosomal RNA". It matches the Rfam family "Archaeal small subunit ribosomal RNA", at positions 133 to 475 of the family's 1478-position model. The record is from RNAcentral.
CGGGAAACUGGGGAUAAUCCCCGAUAUGUCUCGGCUGCUGGAAUGCAUCGAGAUUUAAAGCUCCGGCGCCUAAGGAUGGGUCUGCGGCCUAUCAGGUAGUAGUGGGUGUAGCGUACCUACUAGCCUACGACGGGUACGGGUUGUGAGAGCAAGAGCCCGGAGAUGGAUUCUGAGACACGAAUCCAGGCCCUACGGGGUGCAGCAGGCGCGAAAACUUUACAAUGCUGGCAACAGCGAUAAGGGAACCUCGAGUGCCAGGUUACAAAUCUGGCUGUCGAGAUGCCUAAGAAGCAUUUCAUAGCAAGGGCCGGGCAAGACCGGUGCCAGCCGCCGCGGUAACA